GAUGAACGCUGGCGGCGUGCCUAAUACAUGCAAGUCGAGCGAACAGACGAGGAGCUUGCUCCUCUGACGUUAGCGGCGGACGGGUGAGUAACACGUGGAUAACCUACCUAUAAGACUGGGAUAACUUCAGGAAACCGGAGCUAAUACCGGAUAAUAUAUUGAACCGCAUGGUUCAAUAGUGAAAGACGGUUUUGCUGUCACUUAUAGAUGGAUCCGCGCCGCAUUAGCUAGUUGGUAAGGUAACGGCUUACCAAGGCAACGAUGCGUAGCCGACCUGAGAGGGUGAUCGGCCACACUGGAACUGAGACACGGUCCAGACUCCUACGGGAGGCAGCAGUAGGGAAUCUUCCGCAAUGGGCGCAAGCCUGACGGAGCAACGCCGCGUGAGUGAGGAAGGUCUUCGGAUCGUAAAACUCUGUUAUUAGGGAAGAACAAAUGUGUAAGUAACUAUGCACGUCUUGACGGUACCUAAUCAGAAAGCCACGGCUAACUACGUG
RNAcentral lists this ribosomal RNA (497 nucleotides) under uncultured bacterium. RNAcentral describes it as "partial 16S ribosomal RNA". It matches the Rfam family "Bacterial small subunit ribosomal RNA", at positions 28 to 507 of the family's 1533-position model. The record is from RNAcentral.